This 270-nucleotide non-coding RNA is filed under the name Tamlana sp. The record is from RNAcentral. Lineage: Bacteria; Pseudomonadati; Bacteroidota; Flavobacteriia; Flavobacteriales; Flavobacteriaceae.
CGAUAGCAAAUUUAGUAUGCUUCACAAUGAAUAAGACUACUAUCAUUAUCGAUUAAAAGGGAAUCUGGUUAAAAUCCAGAACUGUUCCCGCAACUGUAAGCUUAGUACCCAAUUUAAUUGGGUAUCUCUUUAAAAGAGAUUCGUGUUACACUUUAAUGUCACUGAGGUAAGAGAUUGCCAAAGCAAAUAUAAUUUGCUUCGCUAUGAUAACUUUGGGAAGACCAACACGGAGACGCAAGUCAGGAGACCUGCCAUUUUCAUAACAAAAAA